UUUUUGGUUUAUGAAUUAGCCUGGGCUUAAAUUAUUUAGUUUGUAGAGGAUAAAUUUAGGGUUCAUCCUCCUCUUCGUUAUCUGAAAAGCUCAAGCAACAAUGGGGUUUUCUGGAAGUUUUCUAUGACGGAUUUCUGAAAAGCUCAAGCAACAAGUCCGGCCAGAGUACCUCAACCAUCAAUGUGCGACUUCUGAUUUUUCUGGAAAGCUAGAAACGUUUAAACAUGGUGGAGAGCUUAUGGGUGUUGACAUGGCCAAGCCAGCUAGGUUGUAUUCUUGGCCUGUAGGGGGAUCAGCAAUUGAUGUCAAGGAAACACUGGAUGAUGACAUAUGUGUGCUUAUCUCCAGCUUUAGUUACCAAUGCUUAUACCUUCGUCUAUGUACAAAACGCAGCCGCUUUAGACAAGAAACCAGGAGUUUACUGUAACUGCCAGAUCAUUGAAAGUCUCAAGAGCUUAAUUGAUGCCCUUAUGUGUUCAUAUGAUUAGAUUAUAUGUGUGGGGCUAUAGGAAAAUGGAAAGCUCUCAACCGAAAAGGAUCCAAAGAUGUGUAUGAGUUUACUGAAUGUCCUAACUGUUACCCUCUGCCUCUCCCUCUCCCUCUCCCUCUCACAUUAUGUGUAAUGUAGUUUGGUUUUGGUAACCCCUGUUUUAUUUUGUGACUCCUGUUUGCAAACAGGUUGAGGCAAACUUGUGUAUCCGGUCUGUUACAGGUUUAUCAAACAACAAAGGACUUAGAAGGCCUGGUGCUCAUGAGCUACUCGAUACAAUGUACAAUGGUCGUCUUCUUCUCAAUUCACGAGCAGCAGAGGCAAUAGAAGAGGAAGAAAAGUAAUACAUUGGGGAUGGCAUGGGAAGCUAUAGGAGAAUGGGAUGCGAGAACAUGUUUUUGUAAUAUGCUGCUAGCUAGCUUUGUAUUGUUAAUUCUUUAUAAACCAAAGAGUUCUUUUUCCUUAAGACAGUCUUGACGACUCAAUUUCACGUUUCCUACAUUAAUUAUUUGUCUC
Raphanus sativus (radish) is the source of this 1006-nucleotide RNA transcript. It is a transcript of the gene named protein PHOTOSYSTEM I ASSEMBLY 2, chloroplastic-like, with no coding region annotated. The transcript is spliced from 5 exons. Lineage: Eukaryota; Viridiplantae; Streptophyta; Magnoliopsida; Brassicales; Brassicaceae. The record is from RefSeq and is a predicted model, not a curated record.